Molecule: transfer RNA, 72 nt
Filed under: Camelus bactrianus (Bactrian camel)
Lineage: Eukaryota; Metazoa; Chordata; Mammalia; Artiodactyla; Camelidae
Also listed under: 2 other names
Rfam family: tRNA
About the family: Transfer RNA (tRNA) molecules are approximately 80 nucleotides in length. Their secondary structure includes four short double-helical elements and three loops (D, anti-codon, and T loops). Further hydrogen bonds mediate the characteristic L-shaped molecular structure. tRNAs have two regions of fundamental functional importance: the anti-codon, which is responsible for specific mRNA codon recognition, and the 3' end, to which the tRNAs corresponding amino acid is attached (by aminoacyl-tRNA synthetases). tRNAs cope with the degeneracy of the genetic code in two manners: having more than one tRNA (with a specific anti-codon) for a particular amino acid; and 'wobble' base-pairing, i.e. permitting non-standard base-pairing at the 3rd anti-codon position.
Source: Rfam by way of RNAcentral
GAAGGUAUAUCUCAAGUGGUAGAGUGUGUGCCUGGCAUACAUGAGGUCUGGGUUCAAUCCCCAGUACCUCCU